RNAcentral lists this ribosomal RNA (347 nucleotides) under uncultured Coriobacteriales bacterium. Its description in RNAcentral is "partial 16S ribosomal RNA". The record is from RNAcentral. Lineage: Bacteria; Bacillati; Actinomycetota; Coriobacteriia; Coriobacteriales.
GGAGUUUGGGCCGUGUCUCAGUCCCAAUGUGGCCGAUCACCCUCUCAGGUCGGCUACCGAUCGUCGACUUGGUGGGCCGUUACCUCACCAACUAUCUAAUCGGACGCGAGCCCACCCUUCACCGGAUUACUCCUUUGACCCCUGAGCCAUGUGGCUCUGUGGUCUUAUGCGGUAUUAGUACAACUUUCGCUGUGUUAUCCCCCUCGUGAAGGACAGGUUGCUCACGCGUUACUCACCCGUCCGCCGCUAAGUGAUUCAAAUGAGUCAAUCAGGUGCAAGCACCGUCAAUCCUCGGGAGAACCACCCCGUUCGACUUGCAUGUGUUAAGCACGCCGCCAGCGUUUAUC